ACUCAAAGGAAUUGACGGGGGCCCGCACAAGCAGUGGAGCAUGUGGUUUAAUUCGACGCGACCCGAAGAACCUUACCAGGUCUUGACAUCUAGAUAAUCCUGUAGAGAUACGGGAGUGCCUUCGGGAAAUCUAAGACAGGUGGUGCAUGGUUGUCGUCAGCUCGUGUCGUGAGAUGUUGGGUUAAGUCCCGCAACGAGCGCAACCCUUGAUGUUGGUUGCCAGCAGGUAAUGCUGGGCACUCCAGCGUGACUGCCGUAGAUAAUACGGAGGAAGGUGGGGAUGACGUCAAAUCAUCAUGCCCUAUAUGACCUGGGCUACACACGUGCUACAAUGGGGUGAACAACGGGAAGCGAGCCUGCGAAGGUAAGCGGAACCCUAAAAACACCUCUCAGUUCGGAUUGCAGGCUGCAACUCGCCUGCAUGAAGUCGGAAUUGCUAGUAAUCGCGGAUCAGCAAGCCGCGGUGAAUACGUUCCCGGGCCUUGCACACACCGCCCGU
Molecule: ribosomal RNA, 499 nt
Filed under: uncultured bacterium
Lineage: Bacteria
Description: bacterial SSU rRNA
Rfam family: Bacterial small subunit ribosomal RNA
Source: RNAcentral